Long non-coding RNA from Hyla sarda, 891 nucleotides. RefSeq lists it as uncharacterized. The transcript has 3 exons. NCBI's taxonomy places the organism in Eukaryota, Metazoa, Chordata, Amphibia, Anura, Hylidae. The record is from RefSeq and is a predicted model, not a curated record.
ACCAAUCAGAUCACUGCUUUCAUUAUUAACAAGGCCUCUGAAAAAUGAAAGCAGCGAUCUGAUUGGUUGCUAUGGGCAACUAGGUAACUUUUCCUCUGGACAGGUUUUGAUAAAUCUUCCCCAAAUAAUAUACAAGGAUUAGAUUGUUGGGGGUCCUAGGCUUUUGCCCUAAAUCGAUGGGGCUUCUAUGCUUGGAGACAAAUCCCGGACCGAAGGUAAAUUCUGCUUUAUUGAGUCUUAUAAACUCUUUUUAUCAUGAAAAGAGCGAUGAAUUUACCAAUGAUCCGUCCUUAAUUCUAACUAGAUAUGAGGCGUAGGAACGUCUAGAUGAACGGCGGAGACAAUUGAUUGCACAAUGAUUAGGACCGCUCCAUUUACAUGGCCCCCGCCAUCCAUUACACAAGGCUCCGAGGAGACGACACGCGGGCGGAUGCGUAUGAUAGUAGAGCGCACAAUGGCGAGAUCUCAGCGGUCCGUCACAGAUGGACGGUCGUCCUUGUACACGAAGAUGACAUUUAAUGCUUCGUGGCCGCGCAUUGAGUCUUUACACGGAAGAGAGAAAUUCCUGGGAAGAUAAGAUAGAAAUCUGCAUGAAGUCCGGCGGAUCAGGUCUCAGCGGUCGCCUUCUCCGCUACGAAAUGUAACGCCGAAAAAACACGUAAACAGGAAAAAACUAAAUGUCACUUACCGCUCCUGGAGAGUCCAGAUGGCGUCAUGGCCCCCAUUAUAGUCAAUAGCAAAGCUUUUUACAUUACAGAAAUAACUAGGAACGUGACCAACGACGCAAGGGCAGAAAUUACGCUAUUUUUUUUUUUAUUCGAAUUUAAAAUGUGCCGUUUUCCCCAAUUUAAAGUUUAAAGGGGUACUCUGGUGGAAAACUAUUUUUUAUAU